CUGGCGGCGUGCCUAAUACAUGCAAGUCGAGCGAAUGGAUUGAGAGCUUGCUCUCAAGAAGUUAGCGGCGGACGGGUGAGUAACACGUGGGUAACCUGCCCAUAAGACUGGGAUAACUCCGGGAAACCGGGGCUAAUACCGGAUAAUAUUUUGAACUGCAUGGUUCGAAAUUGAAAGGCGGCUUCGGCUGUCACUUAUGGAUGGACCCGCGUCGCAUUAGCUAGUUGGUGAGGUAACGGCUCACCAAGGCAACGAUGCGUAGCCGACCUGAGAGGGUGAUCGGCCACACUGGGACUGAGACACGGCCCAGACUCCUACGGGAGGCAGCAGUAGGGAAUCUUCCGCAAUGGACGAAAGUCUGACGGAGCAACGCCGCGUGAGUGAUGAAGGCUUUCGGGUCGUAAAACUCUGUUGUUAGGGAAGAACAAGUGCUAGUUGAAUAAGCUGGCACCUUGACGGUACCUAACCAGAAAGCCACGGCUAACU
RNAcentral lists this ribosomal RNA (486 nucleotides) under marine sediment bacterium ISA-2674. RNAcentral's name for it is "bacterial SSU rRNA". It matches the Rfam family "Bacterial small subunit ribosomal RNA", at positions 36 to 502 of the family's 1533-position model. The record is from RNAcentral.